UACGAGGCACCAUUGCCGUUGGCGUGGCUAUAAAUGGUCUAAAAUAGUAACAGAACGAUUGCGAAUGCACGCGAGCACUACUUCGCGAAGGGAUCGCCAUCGGGCGGCCAAGCCGGGAGUUAGCGGUCGUGGCGCUUUCUUACGGCCAACUAUGGAAAUACCGAUAGAGAUAGAGAACGCGUAAAACACGAAAGUAGAGCAAACAUCGACGGCCGGUUUCUCGGUAGCUUUAGCUGUUUCGUGGAAAAGUGUACAGGUAGUUAUUCAACGACAAGGGAGGAUACGUGUGGAUGCAUAUACGUAUGGAGCUGGACAACAAGGUAAUUUAACGGCGUCAGUUUAACUCCGUAACACGAUUCUGACGCUGCAUCAGUUACAGACCCGAAUGCAGUUUACUGAUUCAGAACUCGGCGGAGGCUGCCUGGGUUCAGAUGGUAGCCGCAAUUAAAUACAGGAGAAUAUUUGCACGUUGCUAACAGACCAAAGGAGACUAAAGACGCGAGGAUUAAGGGAUGCUUGAAAAGCCCUGAAGUUUCUUCAAGGACCCCCAACAUGCACUAUGAGAAAACGAUAUACUAUCAAGACUCAAGACGUUCAUCCAGACCUCAUCUCUGAUUAGCUAUCUAGACACCGUUCAGUCGGCAAUACGUCUUUGGAUGUAUUCAUUAAUCCAAAGGUGGCAGCAAACAUUGAUAUCCAUGCCGGCGCUGCUUCUGGCAGUGAUGGUUGGUAUGCCAGCUACUGAAAUUCACCUACGGUUGGCAGAAGGCUACGUACUCUGCUAAUGAAGUAGCCAACAUGAAUACUGACCCCAAUAGAGAGCCGUAGCUUGAACGCCGAUAAGCCUUCGCCUUACUGCGACUGAACGUGACCAGCUGAAAGGCAGCCGUGACGUUCGCUUCUUUUAAAUUAACCGCUUAACUUUUCGUUUAAUCUCUCGUCUAUAGCUGCAAACCUUAUUUUCAUUAUUUUUCUUUUUUUUUUUUUCAUUGAAUAUUCUACCCUCUAAAAUAGCCAGAGACAGGUAUAACGAUCGGCGGGGCUUUUGCAAAUUAAUUUGAAUAGCUUAAGACGCAAGUACGGCUGGCGUGACUGUGGCGGGAAAUUUGAAUGGUCUAUUUCGGUCUAGGUGUUACGAUGGUCCCACCUCGCUUGCGUAAGUGACGAAGCGUACAAACACCGCAAAGGGAUGUUCCCUCUAUCUCAAAUCCCUAUUAUUAAUUCUUGCAGGACUCAUAUCCCGGAACGUGAUCCACCCCCCCUGUGUCCGGUCCGGACUGUCGUUUCUCUGUUUGCCAAUUUCAAUGCAAAUACAGAAGAGCUUUCUGCUUCUGCAAACGUAUCACCUCUCUAACCCCUUGGUCUGGCUUGAACGCCAAAUGUUUACCAUCCCCUGAGACGACGACUGGGACUCCGCCGGUGAGCUAUGAAUAUGGUCCUGUUUAGUUUCCACGAGACUUUUUUAUUUUGUUUAUCAAGAAAUAUUCAAUACAAAUUCUAGUCUACCUCAGGAUUCCCUAGAACAAGGAUACGCCUGAUAUACACCUAGGGAUAUACGUGGACCGAUCGCUACAGCAUCUCAUGGGAAUCCCUGUGUAUGGGUAUCAAGGAAAUAAAAGAUGAGAUUCUUUAUCGGGACUUGGAUAGGCUUCGAUUUUCAGAUCGCUCCAUCAGCUUUAUCGCGAUUUUCGAAACGUGUUAGCAAUUUCUGGUAACGUAUCUGCAUGAUAAUAGAACGGCGUUAGAGUGGUAUUACGUGUACGUAGGUACAGAGGGAGAGAAAAAAAAAAACAUUCGACGCGAAACAUUGAUUCUACGCGUAAAAAAAAAAUCAAGCAACUUUGCACUUUUAUUUUGCCGAAAGUGGGGAAGUGCGUGGAUAUUUAUUUAUUCGAAGGAUAUUGCUGUAUCCAUUAACCGUUGAUACUAUUAUGAAAGUUUCCAGUUUCAUUUCAAUAUCAAUAUCUCUCUAAUGAGAUGUGAACUUAACAUAAGUGUAUAUUUUAUUCAUCAAUGACUCCGGUACAUUAGCGAACGAUAAACUUUCCACAAACAUCAAUUUUCCAUAUAGCCUCAA
This is a long non-coding RNA of Cephus cinctus (wheat stem sawfly), 2077 nucleotides long. RefSeq lists it as uncharacterized. The record is from RefSeq and is a predicted model, not a curated record. NCBI's taxonomy places the organism in Eukaryota, Metazoa, Arthropoda, Insecta, Hymenoptera, Cephidae. The transcript is spliced from 3 exons.